GACAAAGUUUGUGCACUUUCCCGAAACCUCUCCUUUCAAUUCCCCUCCAUUCAUUACAGGGAGCAAAAAUGAUCCUGUGGGUAAACAUGGUCUCCUUAUUAGCAGUCCUCCCAGGUGUUCAGUCAGAUGUUCAGCUGUUGGAGUCUGGAGGGGAUGUGAGAAGACCUGGAGGUUCCCUCCGUCUCUCCUGCCAAGGCUCCGGAUUCACCUUCAGCAGCUACUGGAUGAGCUGGGUGAGACAGUAUCCAGGGAAGGGACUGGAAUGGGUUGGAGAGAUAAACUUGGAUUCAAGUGCUAUUCGCUACUCUGACAAAGUGAAAGGACGCUUCACCAUCUCCCGAGACAAUUCCAAAAGCCAACUCUAUGUGCAAAUGAACAACCUGAAGCCAGAGGACACGGGAGUCUAUUACUGUGCGAGUGACACAGUGAGAGGAAGUGAAUCUGAAGCUAAGCAAGAACCUUCUCUUCCUCUGAGCAGCCCUUCAAGUUGA
Non-coding RNA from Python bivittatus (Burmese python), 491 nucleotides. Lineage: Eukaryota; Metazoa; Chordata; Lepidosauria; Squamata; Pythonidae. The record is from the annotation of a RefSeq genome assembly.